UAAUACGAAGGGUGCGAGCGUUAAUCGGAAUUACUGGGCGUAAAGCGUGCGUAGGUGGCUUGUUAAGUCGGAUGUGAAAGCCCCGGGCUCAACCUGGGAACUGCAUCCGAUACUGGCGAGCUUGGAGUUUGGAAGAGGGUGGUGGAAUUCCCGGUGUAGCGGUGAAAUGCGUAGAGAUCGGGAGGAACAUCAGUGGCGAAGGCGGCCACCUGGUCCAAAACUGACGCUGAUGCACGAAAGCGUGGGGAGCAAACAGGAUU
Molecule: ribosomal RNA, 260 nt
Filed under: uncultured bacterium
Lineage: Bacteria
Description: partial 16S ribosomal RNA
Rfam family: Bacterial small subunit ribosomal RNA
Source: RNAcentral